AUAUGCUUGUUUCCAAGAUUAAGCCAUGCAUGCCUUUUGAAUAGCUGUAGAAAUCGCUACUUAUAACUAAGUGGUGUACGGCAAAUCUGCGAAUAGCUCCGUAUAUCUGUGAUAACCCUGCUGAUAAAUAUUAAAAGUUCACUAGCAUAAUCUAGUGAGUCAGCCUGUUAUUUCCUCCUUGGAGGAGAUGACUACAAAUCUUAAUUUGGGACUGAUAUUUCAGUAACUUUUUAUCUUUUGUUGUGCUUACUUACAUGGAUAUCCGACGGUAAUUCUGCGGCUAAUACAUGCUUUCUUGAUAGCUCAAGGUAUUAUUUAUGGCCUUCUCUAACAGAGAAAGCCCUCUAAUUUUAAUGCUAGCUGUCAUGGAGGACUACCUCCUUGAACCCUUACCUUAAUUUGGUAUGCAACACUCUUUUACUGAGUGAAUAUCUCUCCUUGACUAACUGGUACGUUCCCCCUAUUGUUACAUCGUUUUCUUUUAGGGGGUUUCUCCGGUAAAUUAGAGGGGUUUCAGCUCUAUCAACUGUUGAGCAGGGUAUUGACCUGUUCAGGUGAUCACGGAUACAGAGAAUCAGGGCUCGAUUCUGGAGAGGAAGCUUAAAAAUCCGCUUCUACUUCUAAGGAAGGCAGCAGGCGCGAAACGUUCCCAAUAACUGCCCUAUACACAGGUCGAGGACGUUAGGAAACAUACGGAACUGGGCUAUUAUGGCUCAGACAUUCGGAUGAGGGCAAAAUAGAACUCUCACCUAGUAACAAUUAGUGGGAAAGUCUGGUGCCAGCAACCGCGGUAAUUCCAGCACUAAGAGCAUAUUAUUAUUUUGUUGCAUUUAAAACGCUCGUAGUCCAUUCUCGGCCAAAAUGAGGCUUCCUAACGGAGUAUAAGUAGAACGUCAAGCAAGGCCCGAACUCGUUUGGGGUAGCCUACUGGUCCACUUCCUUAUAUCUUCUCCUGUGGAGGCUGCAGUGGAGGCCAAAACGCGCUCUGCUUGUUAGGUCAGACUUUAACUAGACUGGCUGAGCAGGUAAAGCAUCCUACCUUGAGCAAAUUAGCUUGCUUAAAGCAGGUCUUUCCCAUUAGACAAAUGAAUAUUACAGCAUGGGAUAACACAUCUCCUGGACAAGUUGGUUCUGUGUUUUGAGCACAGGAGAAGUAACGUUUAAAAGGAGUUGAGGGGGCCAGCCAAACUAUUGGGCGAGGGGUGAAAUCCGCUGACCCUAAUGGGUUGAACUCAAGCGAAAGCAGCCGGCUACUAUGCUCCUGUUGAUCAAGAACGAUAGUCGGGGGAUCGAAAAUGAUUAGAUACCGUUGUAGUCCCUUCUGUAAAAUCUGCCGACCACAGUUAGAGUAAGCUCUUUUUCUGACUCUCCCUGAAUGCCAGGUAAACUCUUAAGUAGGGCUAUGGGGGGAGUAUGG
This 1417-nucleotide ribosomal RNA is filed under the name Cribraria tenella. RNAcentral describes it as "partial 18S ribosomal RNA". It matches the Rfam family "Eukaryotic small subunit ribosomal RNA", at positions 26 to 1128 of the family's 1831-position model. Lineage: Eukaryota; Evosea; Eumycetozoa; Liceales; Cribrariaceae. The record is from RNAcentral.